GACGUAGGGCGCGAGCGUUGUCCGGAUUUAUUGGGCGUAAAGAGCUCGUAGGCGGCUCGUUGCGUCGGCUGUGAAAACCCGCAGCUCAACUGUGGGCUUGCAGCUGAUACGGGCGGGCUGGGAUUCGGUAGGGGAGACUGGAAUUCCUGGUGUAGCGGUGAAAUGCGCAGAUAUCAGGAGGAACACCGGUGGCGAAGGCGGGUCUCUGGGCCGAAACUGACGCUGAGGAGCGAAAGCGUGGGGAGCAAACAGG
This 253-nucleotide ribosomal RNA is filed under the name uncultured bacterium. RNAcentral's name for it is "partial 16S ribosomal RNA". It matches the Rfam family "Bacterial small subunit ribosomal RNA", at positions 524 to 776 of the family's 1533-position model. The record is from RNAcentral.